GGGUUGUGAGGUUAAGCGACUAAGCGUACACGGUGGAUGCCCUGGCAGUCAGAGGCGAUGAAGGACGUGCUAAUCUGCGAUAAGCGCCGGUAAGGUGAUAUGAACCGUUAUAACCGGCGAUUUCCGAAUGGGGAAACCCAGUGUGUUUCGACACACUAUCAUUACGUGAAUACAUAGCGUAAUGA
RNAcentral lists this ribosomal RNA (185 nucleotides) under Salmonella enterica subsp. enterica serovar Tennessee. Its description in RNAcentral is "partial 23S ribosomal RNA". It matches the Rfam family "Bacterial large subunit ribosomal RNA", at positions 1 to 177 of the family's 2925-position model. Lineage: Bacteria; Pseudomonadati; Pseudomonadota; Gammaproteobacteria; Enterobacterales; Enterobacteriaceae. RNAcentral also lists the same sequence under 1 other name. The record is from RNAcentral.